This 253-nucleotide ribosomal RNA is filed under the name uncultured bacterium. Its description in RNAcentral is "partial 16S ribosomal RNA". It matches the Rfam family "Bacterial small subunit ribosomal RNA", at positions 524 to 776 of the family's 1533-position model. The record is from RNAcentral.
UACGUAGGCAGCAAGCGUUGUUCGGAAUUACUGGGCGUAAAGAGUGUGUAGGCGGUGCUCCAAGUCUGGUGUGAAAUCUCCCGGCUCAACUGGGAGGGUGCGCUAGAAACUGGAAUGCUAGAGGAUGGGAGAGGUAAGCGGAAUUCCUGGUGUAGCGGUGAAAUGCGUAGAUAUCAGGAGGAACACCUGUGGUGUAGACAGCUUACUGGACCAUUUCUGACGCUGAGACACGAAAGCGUGGGUAGCAGACAGG